ACUUCCGGCAGGCGGCGGGGCCCGGAAGCGCCGGGCGGCGCCGGCGAAUCCCGCGGCGCCAGGUCGGAGCGGGGCCGGAGUAUGCGGGGCGGCUGGCGGUCUGCGGCGCGCGGCGCAUUCGUUCCCCCGCGGCGGUGGCGGCGGCGCGCUGCGGCUCUCCAGUGAGCGGUGGAGGCCGGAGCGGCGGGCUGGGUGCCGGGCGGGCGGGCCGGGGGCGCCGGGCGCGGGGCAGCCAUGUGGAGCGGCCGCAGCUCCUUCACCAGCCUGGUGGUGGGCGUGUUCGUGGUCUACGUGGUGCACACCUGCUGGGUCAUGUACGGCAUCGUCUACACCCGCCCGUGCUCCGGCGACGCCAACUGCAUCCAGCCCUACCUGGCGCGGCGGCCCAAGCUGCAGCUGAGCGUAUACACCACGACGAGGUCCCACCUGGGUACUGAGAACAACAUCGACCUGGUCUUGAAUGUGGAAGACUUUGAUGUGGAGUCCAAAUUUGAAAGGACAGUUAAUGUUUCUGUACCAAAGAAAACGAGAAACAAUGGGACGCUGUAUGCCUACAUCUUCCUCCAUCACGCUGGGGUCCUGCCGUGGCACGACGGGAAGCAGGUGCACCUGGUCAGUCCUCUGACCACCUACAUGGUCCCCAAGCCGGAAGAAAUCAACCUGCUCACUGGGGAGUCUGAUGCACAGCAGCAGCUCGAGGCGGAGAAGAAGCCGACGAGCGCCCUGGAUGAGCCAGUGUCCCACUGGAGACCGCGGCUGGCGCUGAAUGUGAUGGCAGACAACUUUGUUUUCGAUGGGUCUUCCCUGCCUGCCGAUGUGCAUCGGUACAUGAAGAUGAUCCAGCUGGGGAAGACCGUGCAUUACCUGCCCAUCCUGUUCAUCGACCAGCUCAGCAACCGUGUGAAGGACCUGAUGGUCAUAAACCGCUCCACCACUGAGCUGCCCCUCACCGUGUCCUACGACAAGGUCUCGCUGGGACGGCUGCGCUUCUGGAUCCACAUGCAGGACGCCGUGUACUCCCUGCAGCAGUUCGGGUUUUCAGAGAAAGAUGCUGAUGAGGUGAAAGGAAUUUUUGUAGAUACCAACUUAUACUUCCUGGCGCUGACCUUCUUUGUCGCAGCGUUCCACCUUCUCUUUGAUUUCCUGGCCUUUAAAAAUGACAUCAGUUUCUGGAAGAAGAAGAAGAGCAUGAUCGGCAUGUCCACCAAGGCAGUGCUCUGGCGCUGCUUCAGCACCGUGGUCAUCUUCCUGUUCCUGCUGGACGAGCAGACGAGCCUGCUGGUGCUGGUCCCGGCGGGCGUUGGAGCCGCCAUCGAGCUGUGGAAAGUGAAGAAGGCAUUGAAGAUGACUAUUCUUUGGAGAGGCCUGAUCCCUGAAUUUCAGUUUGGCGCUUACAGCGAAUCUGAGAGGAAAACCGAGGAGUACGAUACUCAGGCCAUGAAGUACUUGUCAUACCUGCUGUACCCUCUCUGUGUCGGGGGUGCUGUCUAUUCCCUCCUGAAUAUCAAGUAUAAGAGCUGGUACUCCUGGUUAAUCAACAGCUUUGUCAACGGGGUCUAUGCCUUUGGCUUCCUCUUCAUGCUGCCCCAGCUCUUUGUGAACUACAAGUUGAAGUCAGUGGCACAUCUGCCCUGGAAGGCCUUCACCUACAAGGUUACCAGAAACAAUAGGAUUCCAGUCCCAGCAACUGGGAUUCACCUUCCUCCCGUGGGGCCCUGCAGGCUUUCAACACCUUCAUUGAUGACGUCUUUGCCUUCAUCAUCACCAUGCCCACGUCUCACCGGCUGGCCUGCUUCCGGGACGACGUGGUGUUCCUGGUCUACCUGUACCAGCGGUGGUGAGUGCGGCUGUGCACGCUCAGCUCUUGGUCCGUCUCAGCGGCGUGGCGCUGCUGCUGAACAGAAUGACGGCUUUCACGGCACCCUGCGCCUGUGUGUCCAUUUCAAGGCAAAGAUAAUUUGCGGGUGGUGGUUUUUCCUGUCUUGCCUAAACUUGGGUUCCAGUUGCCCAUGAUAUGACCUGGCAAGAAACUGUUGCAGCUCUGUCUCCUCAUUGUGCUUUAGAAAUGCUCAUUUCUAUGUGAUUAGCCACUGAAAGCAAAUUUCUCUCCUUAAGCUAUUUACUUAUUCACAGUCAUUGCUAUUGAGCAGAACAGAGACCGUAGCACGACUAAUCCAUACUUGGCACUAGCCUUGAGGUGUCCAGCUGGCAGUCCUGGGGUCCAGGUCUCCAGCGUCGGGAACAGGCUCUGGGCCACUCUUGGGCUGUGUGUCCCUGCAGGGCAGAAUGUCACUGGAGAGCGCACUCACCUCAACAUUGGCCACACCCCUUAAACCAGCCACCCGGGCCUCUGAAGAUGACAUUGUGUUGACCUCCUGGCUUGGCCUUCAGGUCGAAGGCUGACGGCUAAGGAAAAGGCUUUGUGGAAUUUUCUAAACGCAGAGGCUCAGAUCCCGCCCCGGGCCUCGGAAUUUUCUAAACGCAGAGGCUCAGGUCCCGCCCCGGGCCUCCUGCUUCCCUCCAGGGCUGACAUCUGCCCUCUCAGUCAGCAAGAGCUCCCUCAGCUCUGCUCUGCCAGGGUAGGAGCCAGGGAUCUGGGGCUCCCCUCAGGAGGGUUGUAUCCGGACCACUGCAAGCACUGCCCUCACCUCCAGUCCCGGCCCCAGGCCUUGUCCAGGGGUGGAAGGAGUGUGUGUCACCCCCAAGGCCUAUUGCCAAGUGUCUCAGAGCCUCCUGGCUGUGUCCUUUCUCUGACCCUCGAGAUCCCUCUUCCCAUCUCCCCCCGCCCCGACCAGGAGGCCACCACUCAUACACCAUGGCUGUGACACUUCCGUGCGCCCUUCCCAGGCCAUGGCCCCCCUCAAGGCCUGGGCAUCCUCCUAGUGCUGGAGAGAGAGCCUUUUCCCCCAGGUCGUCCUGGGGGGUCCUGCCUCGGUCUGGGCUGCCGGCCCUUGGGGAGCGCAGUGCUCCCAUCCCCGCCUGUCUCCACACACAGCUUUGCCGGGUGUUUCGGAGCCUCUGUCCCGGCCAGCGUGAGGCUGGCAUUGUUCGGCCUGUUUUAACUCUUUGUUCAGGUGCAGUUGGCACAUUCACACAGUGGCGCAUGGCCACCCUUGCCUAGUUCUCCAGGCCUGGCCGCCGGCUGCCCACCCACCCCCUUGCUGUCUCGUGCAGCCCCUGCACUGGAGCUCCAGCCUGGGUCUCAGCAGGAAGGGCUGUUUCCCCGCUUUAUCCUGUGGAUAAACGCAGAGUGAACGAGUUCGGGGAGUCCUACGAGGAGAAGGCCACACGGGCGCCCCACACAGACUGAAGGCC
Cercocebus atys (sooty mangabey) is the source of this 3315-nucleotide RNA transcript. It is a transcript of the gene named CLPTM1-like, with no coding region annotated. NCBI's taxonomy places the organism in Eukaryota, Metazoa, Chordata, Mammalia, Primates, Cercopithecidae. The record is from RefSeq and is a predicted model, not a curated record. The transcript is spliced from 17 exons.